GAUGAACGCUGGCGGCGUGCCUAAUACAUGCAAGUCGAGCGAACAGACGAGGAGCUUGCUCCUUUGACGUUAGCGGCGGACGGGUGAGUAACACGUAGGUAACCUACCUAUAAGACUGGGAUAACUUCGGGAAACCGGAGCUAAUACCGGAUAAUAUUUCGAACCGCAUGGUUCGAUAGCGAAAGAUGGCUUUGCUAUCACUUAUAGAUGGACCUGCGCCGUAUUAGCUAGUUGGUAAGGUAACGGCUUGCCAAGGCAACGAUACGUAGCCGACCUGAGAGGGUGAUCGGCCACACUGGAACUGAGACACGGUCCAGACUCCUACGGGAGGCAGCAGUAGGGAAUCUUCCGCAAUGGGCGAAAGCCUGACGGAGCAACGCCGCGUGAGUGAUGAAGGUCUUCGGAUCGUAAAACUCUGUUAUUAGGGAAGAACAAACGUGUAAGUAACUGUGCACGUCUUGACGGUACCUAAUCAGAAAGCCACGGCUAACUACGUG
Molecule: ribosomal RNA, 497 nt
Filed under: uncultured bacterium
Lineage: Bacteria
Description: partial 16S ribosomal RNA
Rfam family: Bacterial small subunit ribosomal RNA
Source: RNAcentral